RNAcentral lists this transfer RNA (74 nucleotides) under Bacteriovorax stolpii. It matches the Rfam family "tRNA". Rfam says of the family: Transfer RNA (tRNA) molecules are approximately 80 nucleotides in length. Their secondary structure includes four short double-helical elements and three loops (D, anti-codon, and T loops). Lineage: Bacteria; Pseudomonadati; Bdellovibrionota; Bacteriovoracia; Bacteriovoracales; Bacteriovoracaceae. The record is from Rfam by way of RNAcentral. RNAcentral also lists the same sequence under 1 other name.
UGCGGGAUGGAGCAGUCUGGUAGCUCGUCGGGCUCAUAACCCGAAGGUCGUAGGUUCAAAUCCUGCUCCCGCAA